GGGCCCGCACAAGCGGUGGAGCAUGUGGUUUAAUUCGAUGCAACGCGAAGAACCUUACCAGGGCUUGACAUACUGCGAACCUUUUUGAAAGAAGAGGGUGCCUUCGGGAAUGCAGAUACAGGUGGUGCAUGGCUGUCGUCAGCUCGUGUCGUGAGAUGUUGGGUUAAGUCCCGCAACGAGCGCAACCCUUGUUUUAGUUACCAAUUCGUUGGGCUUUCUAGAAAACUGCCGGUGACAAACCGGAGGAAGGUGAGGAUGACGUCAAGUCAGCAUGCCCCUUAUGUCCUGGGCUACACACGUGCUACAAUGGUUAGGACAAAGAGUCGCGAGUUCGUGAGAACCAGCUAAUCUCGUAAAAGAUACCUCAGUUCGGAUUGCACUCUGCAACUCGAGUGCAUGAAGCUGGAAUU
This 410-nucleotide ribosomal RNA is filed under the name uncultured bacterium. RNAcentral describes it as "bacterial SSU rRNA". It matches the Rfam family "Bacterial small subunit ribosomal RNA", at positions 917 to 1333 of the family's 1533-position model. The record is from RNAcentral.